RNAcentral lists this ribosomal RNA (497 nucleotides) under uncultured bacterium. RNAcentral describes it as "partial 16S ribosomal RNA". It matches the Rfam family "Bacterial small subunit ribosomal RNA", at positions 28 to 507 of the family's 1533-position model. The record is from RNAcentral.
GAUGAACGCUGGCGGCGUGCCUAAUACAUGCAAGUCGAGCGAACAGACGAGGAGCUUGCUCCUCUGACGUUAGCGGCGGACGGGUGAGUAACACGUGGAUAACCUACCUAUAAGACUGGGAUAACUUCGGGAAACCGGAGCUAAUACCGGAUAAUAUAUUGAACCGCAUGGUUCAAUAGUGAAAGAAGGUUUUGCUGUCACUUGUAGAUGGAUUCGCGGCUUAUUAGCUAGUUGGUAAGGUAACGGCUUACCAAGGCCACGAUGCGUAGCCGACCUGAGAGGGUGGUGGGCCACACUGGAACUGAGACACGUUCCAGACUCCUACGGGAGGCAGCAGUAGGGAAUCUUCCGCAAUGGGCGAAGGCUGGACGGAGCAACGCCGCGUGGUUGAUGAAGGUCUUCGGAUCGUAAAACUCUGUUAUUAGGGAAGAACAAAUGUGUAAGUAACUAUGCACGUCUUGACGGUACCUAAUCAGAAAGCCACGGCUAACUACGUG